CAUGAGUAGCAAUACUUGAUGGCGACCGGCAAACGGGUGCGGAACACGUACGCAACCUUCCUUUAAGUGGAGAAUAGCUCCCGGAAACGGGAAUUAAUACUCCGUAAUAUUAUGAAGUGGCAUCACUUUAUAAUUAUAGAUUUAUCGCUUAAAGAUGGGCGUGCGCCUGAUUAGGUAGUUGGCGGGGUAACGGCCCACCAAGCCUUCGAUCAGUAACUGGUGUGAGAGCACGACCAGUCACACGGGCACUGAGACACGGGCCCGACUCCUACGGGAGGCAGCAGUAAGGAAUAUUGGUCAAUGGACGCAAGUCUGAACCAGCCAUGCCGCGUGGAGGAUGAAGGUCCUCUGGAUUGUAAACUUCUUUUAUUUGGGAAGAAAUGCAUUUUUUUUAAAGUGCUUGACGGUACCAGAUGAAUAAGCACCGGCUAACUCCGUGCCAGCAGCCGCGGUAAUACGGAGGGUGCAAGCGUUAUCCGGAUUUACUGGGUUCAAAGGGUGCGCAGGCGGAUAUGUAAGUCAGUGGUGAAAUCUUUGGGCUUAACCCGAAAAUUGCCAUUGAUACUAUAUAUCUUGAAUGCUGUGGAGGUAAGCGGAAUAUGUCAUGUAGCGGUGAAAUGCUUAGAUAUGACAUAGAACACCUAUUGCGAAGGCAGCUUACUACGCAGAGAUUGACGCUCAUGCACGAAAGCGUGGGGAUCAAACAGGAUUAGAUACCCUGGUAGUCCACGCCCUAAACGAUGAUUACUCGACAUACGCGAUACACAGUGUGUGUCUGAGCGAAAGCAUUAAGUAUCCACCUGGGAAGUACGAUCGCAAGAUUGAAACUC
RNAcentral lists this ribosomal RNA (830 nucleotides) under uncultured Flavobacteriia bacterium. RNAcentral's name for it is "bacterial SSU rRNA". It matches the Rfam family "Bacterial small subunit ribosomal RNA", at positions 71 to 902 of the family's 1533-position model. The record is from RNAcentral. Lineage: Bacteria; Pseudomonadati; Bacteroidota; Flavobacteriia.